RNAcentral lists this long non-coding RNA (1469 nucleotides) under Salmo salar (Atlantic salmon). Its description in RNAcentral is "lncRNA (ENSSSAG00000088778.1)". The record is from RNAcentral. Lineage: Eukaryota; Metazoa; Chordata; Actinopteri; Salmoniformes; Salmonidae.
AAAGGGAGGAGAGAGAGAAGGAGGGAUAGAGAGAGGGAGAGGGAUAGAGAAAGAAGGAGGAGAUUUAAAGAAGAGUGAAAGAGUGAAAAAUAGUGAGAGAGCGAGAGACAGAGAGAGAGCGAGUCCUCUAGGUAUCCUCUAGCUGUCCUCUAGGUAUCCUCUAGGUAUCCUCUAGCUGUCCUCUAGGUAUCCUCUAGGUAUCCUCUAGGUAUCCUCUAGCUGUCCUCUAGGUAUCCUCUAGGUAUCCUCUAGGUAUCCUCUACUCUAGGUGUUCUCUAGGUAUCCUCUAGGUAUCCUCUAGGUGUCCUCUACUCUAGGUGUUCUCUAGGUAUCCUCUAGGUAUCCUCUAGGUGUCCUCUACUCUAGGUGUUCUCUAGGUAUCCUUUAGGUGUUCUCUAGGUAUCCUCUAGCUGUCCUCUAGGUAUCCUCUAGCUGUCCUCUAGGUAUCCUCUAGGUAUCCUCUAGCUGUCCUCUAGGUAUCCUCUAGGUAUCCUCUAGGUGUCCUCUAGCUAUCCUCUAGGUACUUUCCCCAGCCCAGCUCUCUUUCAUCAGUGCAGAUCAAGGAAAGGAGUUGAAUCAGAAGAAGAGACAAAACGGGUGUGUCUCAAAUGUAACCCUUUUCACUUCAUAGUGCCCUACUUUUGACCCCCGAACUUUAACCUUGGUCAAAAGUUGUGCACUAUGAAUAAGGUCCCAUUUGGAACGCAGACAAUACUGUAUGUCUAGGCUAUUGACACGCACCUAGAGGGGGAUUGACAUAUAGAUAAUUGAAGAGGUUCAUCCACAGGAGGAUAAAACAGAGUGGUACAGGAGGAUAAAACAGAGCGGUACAGGAGGAUAAAACAGAGCGGUACAGGAGGAUAAAACAGAGCGGUACAGGGGGAUAAAACAGAGCGGUACAGGAGGAUAAAACAGAGCGGUACAGGAGGAUAAAACAGAGCGGUACAGGAGGAUAAAACAAGGGUACAGGAGGAUAAAACAGAGCGGUACAGGAGGAUAAAACAGCGGUAGAGGAGGAUAAAACAGAGCAGUACAGGAGGAUAAAACAGAGCGGUACAGGAGGAUAAAACAGAGCAGUACAGGAGGAUAAAACAAGGGUACAGGAGGAUAAAACAGAGCUGUACAGGAGGAAAGAGAAGAACGGGGGAUUUUACACAGAAAGAAAGAGGAUGAAGAGAGGACAGGAAUUCAGUUUCGAAGGUUUCUCAUAACACAACUGAAAAGGGAAGAAGUUAUUUACUCCACUUCAAAUAUGAACCAGUUUCCUUCCAAUGCAUGAUCACAUGGGGGUGUGGCCCAAUUGUCACACUAUUCACUAUAUAGUGCACUCAUUUUGAACAGGGCCCAUUUGGGCUCUGGUCAAAAGUAGUGUACUAUAUAGGGAAUGGGGUGCCAUUUCGGACUCACCCGUACUGUAUAGACACCUGAAACAUAUGUGCAGUUAAGUACGUCACAGGCACUUUUGACAG